This 514-nucleotide long non-coding RNA is filed under the name Trifolium pratense (red clover). Its description in RNAcentral is "long non-coding RNA (TPRA_LNC014185)". Lineage: Eukaryota; Viridiplantae; Streptophyta; Magnoliopsida; Fabales; Fabaceae. The record is from RNAcentral.
AUUCAUUCUACAGUACAAUCACAAAGAGAGUGUGAGGGUGAGAACAACACUGUUUGAUUCUACCCUCAAGAAUCAUACAAAAAAUCAUCAACAACAACAACAACAAGAGAUUCUCAAUGGCUUCAAGAAUUGUUUCUCAACAACAACCCAAAGGUGUGUGUUUUCUUCAAUCAUGUUCAAAGAUUGGAACUUUGAGGGUUUGGUAAUGUAGCGAUAAGAAAAAAUUCUGGGUUGGUUUUAUGGUUUUAUACAAAAUAAUUCGACCGUUGAGGAGAGAACGUUGUCUCCAUCAGCUUCAAAAAGAGGUUUUUCAUUCUCAUUCUCUCAUUCCUAUUCAUUCAUUCAUUCAUUCAUUCAUUCAUUCAUUCAUUCAUUCAUUCAUUCUACAAUCGCAAAGAGAGUAUGAGGGUGGUGAGAACAACACUGUUUGAUUCUACCCUCAAGAAUCAUACAAAAUCAUCAUCAACAACAACAACAAGAAGAGGUUCUCAAUGGCUUCAAGAAUUGUUUCUCA